GACGAACGCUGGCGGCGUGCUUAACACAUGCAAGUCGAACGAUGAAGCUGGAGCUUGCUCCGGUGGAUUAGUGGCGAACGGGUGAGUAACACGUGAGCAAUCUGCCCUUGACUCUGGGAUAACUGCGGGAAACUGUAGCUAAUACCGGGUACUUUCACUGGAAGGCAUCUUCUGGUGAAGAAAGAAUUUCGGUCAAGGAUGAGCUCGCGGCCUAUCAGCUUGUUGGUGAGGUAACGGCUCACCAAGGCGACGACGGGUAGCCGGCCUGAGAGGGUGACCGGCCACACUGGGACUGAGACACGGCCCAGACUCCUACGGGAGGCAGCAGUGGGGAAUAUUGCACAAUGGGCGCAAGCCUGAUGCAGCAACGCCGCGUGAGGGAUGAAGGCCUUCGGGUUGUAAACCUCUUUUAGCAGGGAAGAAGCGAAAGUGACGGUACCUGCAGAAAAAGCACCGGCUAACUACGUGCCAGCCGCCGCGGUAA
Molecule: ribosomal RNA, 484 nt
Filed under: uncultured bacterium
Lineage: Bacteria
Description: partial 16S ribosomal RNA
Rfam family: Bacterial small subunit ribosomal RNA
Source: RNAcentral